Molecule: ribosomal RNA, 253 nt
Filed under: uncultured bacterium
Lineage: Bacteria
Description: partial 16S ribosomal RNA
Rfam family: Bacterial small subunit ribosomal RNA
Source: RNAcentral
UACGAAGGGUGCAAGCGUUACUCGGAAUUACUGGGCGUAAAGCGUGAGUAGGUGGUUUCUUAAGUCUGCUGUGAAAGCCCCGGGCUCAACCUGGGAAUUGCAGUGGAUACUGGGAAGCUAGAGUUCGGUAGAGGGUAGUGGAAUUCCCGGUGUAGCGGUGAAAUGCGUAGAGAUCGGGAGGAACACCAGUGGCGAAGGCGGCCUCCUGGACCAGCACUGACGCUGAGGCACGAAAGCGUGGGGAGCAAACAGG